GUAACAGUGAUGUAUACUUAAAAACCCUAACUACAUUCUCAUUCAGAUAGUUGCACCUAUUCACACAUUCAAAACCCUUAAAUCUACCGAUUCACACCAGAUUUAACCCUAAAUCUACCAAUUCACACGAAAUUUAACCCUAAAUCACAACACCGUAGUUCAGUUUCAUUAGAGAAUUGAAGCUCUGCUUCAUUGUACGAUUCAUUGAUCUUCACAAAUGAUUCAAGUGUUCGACGCAUUAGACAUAUCGAUUGAUCUUGUAAUCCAGACGAUUCAUUGAUCUUCACAAAUGAUUCUCGAAGCAUAUGCACGAUUUGGAUGAUUACGCACACGAUUUGGAUCUUCUGAACUUCGUUGUUACAGAAAGCUAGGGUUUGAUUCUGCACAUCGAUUCACAGACGAUUCUCAGGCUUUAUCUUCUGAACAGGUUCGUAUCCUCUUUGGUUAGGACUAGGAUUAGCGGCUAGGUUUUGAGGUUUGUGCAUACAACUGAGUUGAGAUACGACUAGACAUACGAUUCUAAACAGAGGAUUCUGAAUAGAACAUUGAUACGUACCGUUCUUCAAUCAGGUAAUUUCAGUUGAAUCUUAAAGAUCUGGUUCAAUAUACCUGUUUUUUGAUUUCUAGGUUACAACGUUCUCUUUAUAUACGUUUAUAUUCGUUCAAAUCAUGUCGAUACAUUGAUGAAUGAUGAUAUGAGUUCAAUCUGCAUCAGAUCAUUUUCACAUAUUAGGGUUUAGCAAGGUGAUGAUCUUCAAUUUGAUCAAUUAGUUAGGGUUUGUUGACUAUUGAUUUCGUUGAGACUAUUGUUAAUCCAAAAAACUGUUCAUAUGUAAUCUGUUGAGAAUUUAGACUGUUGAUUUCGUUGAUAAUUGUUUAAUUGCCUAUCAAUUUGUAGCAGAUUUUUUACACUGAAGUUAAUUUGUUGUUGUUUGACUACUUGAUUUAUCGGAUGAUCUGAUUAAGCGAUUUCCACCUAUUACUUGUGAGUUUAUCUGUUUUUGUUGAUUUUAAUUGAAGAAUCGAGUGUUUAGGGUUUACGAAUGUUUGCAGUUGAUAUAUUUGGGUGAUGUUUGAUGUUGUUUUCUAGUUGAACAGGAAUUUGCCAGGUGUAUGCAAGGAGUACUAGGCUGCUCUUGUCGAUAGCUACUCUGUAGUGCUUUUGAUUCUGUUUAGGUUGUGAGUUAUUAAUAUGUGCUUGUUGAGCUGAUCAAAUUGCAUUGUAAAGUGUUAGGGAUUAUUGUGAUGUGUCGUAAUUGUUGCUCAUAUUGAGCUUUCAGCUAAGAAGGUCAUGAUUAGUUUUCAAACUCAAUAUCGGUGUUAAUCAUUUUAUGGUGGUUGUGCUUCUGUUAUAGUAUGUCUCCAGCAGUCCAGCUGUCCAGCUGGUUGAUUGCACACACGUAUCUGUGAUUCAUACAACUUGCAUUUAACAAAGUGGGUAGUUCGAUGUGUGCUACGCUGUCAAGGCGCAUAAACGCAUUCAAAGCGUAUAGCCUAGGCACCAGGCGCUUAAAAAGCGAGAGGGCUAAGCUAGGCAUAUAGUACAAAAAUACUAUUUUUAGGGGUUUUAGACAUGUUUUAGGCUCGUUUAGGGCUAGUUUAGGCUCUUUUAGGUUGAUUUUAUGCUUAUUUAGGUUGAUUCUAGCUUUAUUUAUGGGUUGUUUUUCACCAUUUACACUCUUUUUUAUUACUGACACUUCCUUGCCGACACAGGACCUGGAGCUCCCCAGAUUUGCAAUGUGGUUAUUGAGAUCACUAAAGGAAGCAAAGUGAAAUAUGAACUUGACAAGAAAACCGGCCUCAUUAAGGUAAAUUACCGGCACUUUGAAGUUUGAUGCACAACGUAUAUCAAGUUGAUUUGAUAGUAGAAAAUGGGCGCUGAAGGAGAACGGGUUCAGGAGCACGCGGAGGACGAAGCUGGUGUGCACGAUCGGGCUGGCAGAUACUGUUUCACUUUUUUUUUUAAGUUAAUAAACCAAACACAUCUACCGCACUUUUUACUAAUAUGCAUUGAUCGGAGCUAAAAGCGAUGUCGUUUAUGUAUGAUAUGUUUGUUUUGCAGUCGUUUCCGAGGGUCGUCUGGUUGGACGGAAGUGGGAGGCAACUGAUCCAAUGGCCUGUGGAGGAGAUUUGAUGAUAAUUUAUUUUCAUCCAUCUGGAACAUGCAGGAGAGUAUCUUGCUUCUGGUGCUGAUGGUACGAGUUAUUAAGUUGAUUUGAUGAUAAUUUAUUUCCAUUAAUAAAGAGACAAAUACACGGUUUAAACUCUUAUAAAUGUGGGUGGUGAGCUGAUAAUAUGGAAGCAGAACAAAAUACUGACUCUGGUCAAGCAUGGAAGGUCCUCAAGACACUAUCGUACGGCCUUUCGUUUCUAACAUAUAACAUAUAUGCUGAUAUUGAUACGUAAGCAAUAUACUAUCAGAUAAGCACUAAAACAAACCAGAAAACCGCCAGUUCACAGUUUAUGUCUUAUCCAAAGUCUACUACCCCUUGGGUUUUCUCAAAAGGUACGACUCACAUAUUCUCUAAUUCUACUGAAAGAAUUAAUAUUACAGGAGACCAGGAAACCUGGAUUCGAUUCUUGAGCCAAUCGGAUUUUACCGAUAAUUUCACCGUCGUCCCUACCGUCAUCCCUACUUCUAUUAUUUCCUAGAUUAUGUUGUAUAUUUUUAGUUUAUAUAACCCAAAAACUAAGGCUGAAUAGGAUCAGUGGAUUUUAAACCUUCAUGUCCUACAUUUGAUUAAUCCUGAUCUAGCGCUGUUGUUUUUCUGAUGUGACAACUGACUAGCCACAUUUUUGGGUGUAUCUGGGCCUCUUUAAUGUGGAUGGUCUUGAAAAGUUACCAUGUUAUAAUCUUAAGUGGUUUAUUUUCUUCCAGGUUGUUCGUUAUGGUGAGGUUUAUAAAUCAGAUUGGAAUGGAAUGGUAAGAUGGAUCUGAUCGUUUUAUACUAGUUUUAUUGUAUAUUAAUAGUAGUGCGAGUUCUGUUUUGAGUUUCAAUGCUUGUAAUGUUUUAGAACAAAGUGUUGCAAAAGGAUUGUAGUUUAGUUACUUCAAUUGGAUGGAAAGGAACUGAACUGUAGUUUCGAUGUUUGGAUUUGGAAAAUUUAAUUUUAGUUAUUUGAUGUUUUGAUUUGGAAGUUUA
Molecule: long non-coding RNA, 3143 nt
Organism: Helianthus annuus (common sunflower)
Lineage: Eukaryota; Viridiplantae; Streptophyta; Magnoliopsida; Asterales; Asteraceae
Exons: 2
Source: RefSeq, a predicted model, not a curated record